Molecule: ribosomal RNA, 328 nt
Filed under: uncultured eukaryote
Lineage: Eukaryota
Description: partial 18S ribosomal RNA
Rfam family: Eukaryotic small subunit ribosomal RNA
Source: RNAcentral
CCCUUAGAUGUCCGGGGCUGCACGCGCGCUACACUGAAGGAAUCAGCGUGCUAAAACCAUUGUCGAAAGGCAUUGGUAAACCCAUUAAAAUCCUACGUGAUUGGGAUCGGGAAUUGCAAUUAUUUCCCUUGAACGAGGAAUUCCCAGUAAGUGUGGGUCAUAAGCUCGCGUUGAUUACGUCCCUGCCCUUUGUACACACCGCCCGUCGCUGCCCGGGACUGAGCCGUUUCCAGAAAAGCGGGGACUGCUGCUGUCGGGGCUUUCGGGCCUUGGCUUCGGUGGAAACCGCUUUAAUCGCAGUGGCUUGAACCGGGCAAAAGUCGUAACA